Arabidopsis thaliana x Arabidopsis arenosa is the source of this 70-nucleotide non-coding RNA. The record is from the annotation of a GenBank genome assembly. Lineage: Eukaryota; Viridiplantae; Streptophyta; Magnoliopsida; Brassicales; Brassicaceae.
AGGUGACAAUGACGUAUAUGAUGUCACAGACCAGUUGCUAGCUGGUAACGAACGCAUGUUACCUGAGUCU